Molecule: RNA transcript, 11493 nt
Organism: Oncorhynchus nerka (sockeye salmon)
Lineage: Eukaryota; Metazoa; Chordata; Actinopteri; Salmoniformes; Salmonidae
Gene name: apoptotic protease-activating factor 1-like
Exons: 27
Source: RefSeq, a predicted model, not a curated record
AGCAAAUAAAUAAAAUGCUUGGAAAAUUGUUUGUAUGCAUGCACUGCUUGAAAGGAAAUAUUAUAUUUGAUAAUUUGUAUGUAUUCAUAUUAUGUAUAAUCCAUUAUCACUAUCACUUGUCAAGUAAAUGUAUGAACGUGAUUGGAUAAUAUAUAUGCACUACUAGUAGGUUCAUAUGACAUUGUCAACAUUUGAUAUGGUGAAUAUUUUGUCAUUAAUCAUUUACAUUAUUUUGUUCUGAGUGUGGCAGAAACAUGCAACUCUAAGUGCCAUGACAAAAGGAACGCUGUUUGCACUAUGAGUCUAUUUCGGGCCACUGUUAAGUGUCUUAUCAGUAUUGUCAAGUGCAAUACCAAAGAUACUGAGCUAGCACUGCAGGCCUACAAGUUUACAAUGAACAACAAGCUGUCACGUAUCACCAGGCAGCCUGCUCCCAUCUGCCUAGUUACAGUCAAGCGCAUGCUUUAUCUCACCCUCUCACGUGUGCGCGAAACGCCACCGCAUUGGUCAUUUCAGACCGGGGGGAGUUGUUUUUGUUAUAAUUCAGGAAGAACCCUACUCAUUUCAAAAAUAGGUGGGGAUUACAUUUAUUUACAUUUACAGAAUUACAUUAUUUUGAAAGGAAAUUAUUAUAAACUUGAGCACUUAUCGAGUGUGGAUAGCGAGCUCCUGUGUCGAGCAAAUAGAUACAUCUCCCAUCACCUGCCAAUUCAUCACCAUUCCAACCCAGCCACCCCACCUGUGUGGUCGGACCAAGUCUGGCCCGUUGGCAUGGCGAUGAUGGAGGAAGGGGCGCGGAGCUGCCUGCUUCAGUCACGCUCCAGCCUGGAGCAGGACAUCAGGGCUUCCUACCUGAUGGAUCACAUGAUCAGUGACGGCGUGCUGACGGGGGACGAGGAGGACAGGAUCAGGAGCAAGCCCACCAGAAGAGAGCAGGCGGCGGCCCUGCUGGAGCUGCUCCUGAGGAAGGAUAACCAGGCCUACAUCUCCUUCUACAAUGCCCUGGUCCGGGAGAGCUACGGAGACCUGGCCAGCCUGCUCCACAACAGCCUGCCCCUGGUCUCCCCUGAGGCUGAGAAGAGCUUCUCAGACGGUGGCACCCGCUAUGUCCAGGCGGUGCUGAGUGAGGGCGGCGUGCCCCAGAGACCCGUGGUGUUUGUGAGCCGGCCAGCCCUGAUGAACCGGGUCAGGGAGAAGCUCUACCGCUUGCAGAAGGAGCCCGGCUGGGUCACUGUGUUCGGCAUGGCCGGCUCCGGCAAGUCUGUCUUGGCUGCAGAGGCAGUCCGAGACCACGCACUCAUCACAGAGUGUUUUCCAGGAGGAGUCCACUGGCUGUCCAUAGGCCAGCUGGACCGGUCUGACCUGCUGGUUAGGAUCCAGUCACUGUGUUUCCGCCUGGAGCAGCAGAGCCAGGAGAAAGACCCCUCGUCCUCCCUCCACCGGCCUCCUGGCUCUCUGGAAGAGGCCAAGGAGCGACUACGCUUCCUCAUGCUCCGUCGUUACCCCAGGUCGUUGCUGAUACUGGAUGACAUCUGGGACAGCUCGGUGCUCAAGGCCUUUGACAUACAGUGUCGAGUACUGCUCACCACCCGAGACAGAAGCCUAGCCGACUGUGUCAGCGGUCCUAAGUCUGAGGUGGCAGUGGAGAGUGGUCUGGAGGAGGGUCAGGCCUUGGAGAUCCUCGCCCUGUAUGUCAACAGGAAACCCCAGAGACUCCCAGAACAGGCCCGCAGCAUUGUCCGAGAGUGCAAAGGCUCUCCCUUGGUGGUGUCCCUAAUCGGGGCCCUGCUGCGGGAGUUCCCGGACCGCUGGGCCUACUACCUGCACACGCUCCAGCAGAAGAAGUUCAAGCGUAUCCGUAAGUCGUCUUCGUAUGACUAUGAUGCCCUUGACCAGGCCAUGGCUGCCAGCAUCCAGGUCCUGUCUGAGGAACACAGGGAGCUGUACAUUGACCUCACCGUGCUGGAGAAGGACGUCAAAGUACCUGCCAAGGUUCUGUCAGUUCUGUGGGAUCUAGAACCGGAGGAGGUGGAGGACGUUCUCCAGGACUUUGUGAACAAGUCCCUACUGUUCCGUGAUUGUCACCACCGGCCCUACCUCUACUACCUCCACGACCUGCAGCUGGACUUCCUGGCUGAGAUGAACCGCUCUGGCCUAGAGAGCCUCCACACCAAGGUGGUGCGUCAGUACCAGCAGCGCUACAGCAAGGGUCCUCCCACCUCAGGAGAUGAAGAGUGCCUCUACUGGUUCAGAUUCCUCACCUACCACAUGGCCAAGGCCAACCUCACACAGGAGUUGUACUCUCUGAUGUUCUCUCUGGACUGGGUCAGAACUAAAGCUCAGAUUAUGGGACCGGCUCAUCUCAUCAAUGACUAUUUGGAGUACAGCACCAUACUGGACAAAGAGAACAGCGAGGUGCGGGGCCACUUCCAGGAGUUCCUGUCUCUGAACGGCCACCAGUUGGAGCAGCGUCCGUUCCCUGACGUCGUGCAGCUGGCCCUGUCCCAGCCAGACUCCUCUGAGGUGUACCGCCAGGCCCUGCUGCAGGCGCAGGAGAGGGCCACCAGAGGGGAACUCUACCUUGACUGGGUGAACACAAGUAGUCUGAAGAGCCUGUCUCGUCUGGUGGUCCAGCCCCACCAGGGAUCCAUCUACUCUGCCUGCUUCUCCCACGACGGCACCAAGAUCGCUUCCUGUGGCUCCAGCAAGACACUGCGAGUGUUUAAGAGCACGUCUGGGGAGAAGCUGCUGGAGAUCCAGGCCCACGACGAUGAGGUGCUCUGCUGCGCCUUCUCCCCGGAUGACCAUCUCCUAGCAACCUGCUCCAGUGAUAGGAAGGUCAAGGUUUGGAAUGUGGAGCGUGGGACUCUGAUGAGGAUGUUUGAGGACGAACACGAGGAGCAGGUCAACCACUGUCAGUUCACCAACACACGCCGACGCCUUCUACUGGCCACCUGUUCCAACGACAAGUUCAUGAACACCAAGCUGUGGAACAUCAAUAAACCCUCUUCCCAGAACACCAUGUUUGGUCAUUUGGAGCCUGUCAAUCACUGCUGUUUCUCCCCUGAUGACGCCUACCUCUCCACCUCUUCCAGCGACGGAACCCUGAAGCUGUGGGAGGUGUCCUCGGCUAAUGAGUGGAAGUCCAUAGACGUGGCGGACAUGUUCCCAGAGCAGAGAGAGCAGACGGAGGUCAUGGUGAAGUGCAGCACCUGGUCAGCAGGCGGCAGGACCAUCAUCUGUGCUGCCAGGAACGCAGUCUUUGUGUUUGAUGUAGAGACGGCGGCCAUGUUGUUGGAGAUCCGGACCAGUCGUCUGAGCACGGUGCAGUACUGUCACGCCUGCCCCAGCAGCAACCUGGUGGCCAUCGCACUGUCACACUAUGCUGUGGAGCUGUGGGACAUAGAGACCAGUAAGAAGAUGGCUGACUGUAGUGGUCAUCUGAGCUGGGUCCAUGGAGUCCAGUUCUCCCCUGACGGAUCUCUACUGCUCUCCUGUUCUGACGACCAGACCGUCAGGGUGUGGGAGACUAAUAAAGUCCACACCUCCUCGGCUGUCUGUCUGAAGAGGGACUCUGACGUGCUCUUUAACAACGGUGACAUUACUGUGGUCGCUGCCGACAACCGCAACAGACUGCAGGUGAGGAAUGGGAGGACCGGAGCGGUGAUGUUCCAGUCAGAGAACCAGGAGUCUCGUAUCCGCUGCACUGCGAUCUGCUCACAGACCUCAGCCGUGGGGCUGGGACGAGAGGAUGGGACGAUACAGGUACACACACGUACACACACAGGUGUUGGAGGUGCCGUCGGGGACCUCUCUAGCCACUCUUCAGGGUCACACCAGGGCAGUUCUCCACUGCCAGUUCACCCCGGAGGGACACACACUCAUCACCUCCUCUGAGGACACCACCAUACGGGUGUGGAGGUGGAGGACAGGUGAGUGUGUGGUUCUGGAGGGCCACAAGGAGCAGGUCAGAUGCUUCUCUCUGCUCACCACCUCACCCUCCUCAGAGACACAUCUCCUCAGCUGGUCCUUUGACGGCACCAUCAAGGUGUGGGACAUGUCUAGUGGUGAACGGCUGCAGGAUCUAGUGUGUCACCAGGGGGCGGUGCUAGCCUGUGACGUGUCGCCUGACGGACAGCUCUUCGCCACCACCUCCGCUGACAAGACUGCCAAGGUGUGGAGCAGUGCAUCGUGGGAGUGCGUGCGCCUGUUGAACGGCCACCAGGACUGUGUCCGCAGCUGCCGCUUCUCUUGGGACGGCCGGCGCCUAGCAACCGGCGACGACAACGGAGAGAUACGGCUGUGGAACGUGAAGGAUGGUACUCUGCUUAAGAUCUGUUCCCGUGACAACAAGGACGCCAUGGACUCUCUGCACGGAGGCUGGGUGACCGACCUGCACUUCUCCCCAGACAACACUGUGCUGCUGUCUACAGGAGGAUACAUUAAGUGGUGGAACGUGGAGAAAGGAGAGGCCCUCCAGACCUUCUACCCGACAGGAGCCAAUCUGAAAAGGAUCCACGUGUCACCUGACUUCUCCACCUUCGUCACCAUCGACAAUAUCGGAAUCCUCUACAUCCUUAAGAAGGUGGAAUGAGAGGGAGGCAUAGCUCAUUAGUCUAAAGUGGUUUACUUAUAGCUCAUUAGUCUAAAGGGGGCGUAGCUCAAUAAUGGAAAUAAUGGUCUCCUCUCCUUGCAUUGAUCUGAAAGAGCCAGACAGGUGAGAGCCAAUGUCCGUUAGUCAUCUGCCAUGUUGCUUUAGCCUGCGUUCUCAGAUCAGAUCAGGUGAGAGCCAAUGUCCGUUAGUCAUCUGCCAUGUUGCUUUAGCCUGCGUUCUCAGAUCAGAUCAGGUGAGAGCCAAUGUCCGUUAGUCAUCUGCCAUGUUGCUUUAGCCUGCGUUCUCAGAGCAGAGACAGGUGAAGAACAGGAGAUCUGCUGAAGGACAAUCAUUUCUCCUGCUCUGCCUUCUGCAUGUCAUAACAGUCAAACACAACAAAAUACAUCAUUUCUCCUGCUCUGCCUUCUGCAUGUUACAACAGUCACACACAACAAAAUACAUCAUUUCUCCUGCUCUGCCUUCUGCAUGUCACAACAGUCAAACACAACAAAAUACAUAAUUUCUCCUGCUCUGCCUUCUGCAUGUUAUAACAGUCAAACACAACAAAAUACAUCAUUUCUCCUGCUCUGCCUUCUGCAUGUUAUAACAGUCAAACACAACAAAAUACAUCAUUUCUCCUGCUCUGCCUUCUGCAUGUUAUAACAGUCACACACAACAAAAUACAUCAUUUCUCCUGCUCUGCCUUCUGCAUGUCACAACAGUCAAACACAACAAAAUACAUCAUUUCUCCUGCUCUGCCUUCUGCAUGUUAUAACAGUCAAACACAACAAAAUACAUCAUUUCUCCUGCUCUGCCUUCUGCAUGUCAUAACAGUCAAACACAACAAAAUACAUCAUUUCUCCUGCUCUGCCUUCUGCAUGUUAUAACAGUCAAACACAACAAAAUACAUAAUUUCUCCUGCUCUGCCUUCUGCAUGUUAUAACAGUCAAACACAACAAAAUACAUCAUUUCUCCUGCUCUGCCUUCUGCAUGUCACAACAGUCAAACACAACAAAAUACAUCAUUUCUCCUGCUCUGCCUUCUGCAUGUCACAACAGUCACACACAACAAAAUACAUAAUUUCUCCUGCUCUGCCUUCUGCAUGUCACAACAGUCAAUCACAACAAAAUACAUAAUUUCUCCUGCUCUGCCUUCUGCAUGUCACAACAGUCAAACACAACAAAAUACAUCAUUUCUCCUGCUCUGCCUUCUGCAUGUCACAACAGUCAAACACAACAAAAUACAUCAUUUCUCCUGCUCUGCCUUCUGCAUGUCACAACAGUCAAACACAACAAAAUACAUCAUUUCUCCUGCUCUGCCUUCUGCAUGUCACAACAGUCAAACACAACAAAAUACAUAAUUUCUCCUGCUCUGCCUUCUGCAUGUUAUAACAGUCAAACAAUCACAACAAAAUACAUAAUUUCUCCUGCUCUGCCUUCUGCAUGUUAUAACAGUCAAACAAUCACAACAAAAUACAUCAUUUCUCCUGCUCUGCCUUCUGCAUGUCACAACAGUCAAUCACAACAAAAUACAUCAUUUCUCCUGCUCUGCCUUCUGCAUGCCACAACAGUCAAUCACAACAAAAUACAUAAUUUCUCCUGCUCUGCCUUCUGCAUGUCACAACAGUCAAUCACAACAAAAUACAUAAUUUCUCCUGCUCUGCCUUCUGCAUGUCACAACAGUCAAUCACAACAAAAUACAUCAUUUCUCCUGCUCUGCCUUCUGCAUGUUAUAACAGUCAAACACAACAAAAUACAUCAUUUCUCCUGCUCUGCCUUCUGCAUGUUAUAACAGUCAAACAAUCACAACAAAAUACAUCAUUUCUCCUGCUCUGCCUUCUGCAUGUCACAACAGUCAAACAAUCACAACAAAAUACAUCAUUUCUCCUGCUCUGCCUUCUGCAUGUCACAACAGUCAAACAAUCACAACAAAAUACAUCAUUUCUCCUGCUCUGCCUUCUGCAUGUCACAACAGUCACACACAACAAAAUACAUCAUUUCUCCUGCUCUGCCUUCUGCAUGUCACAACAGUCACACAAUCACAACAAAAUACAUAAUUUCUCCUGCUCUGCCUUCUGCAUGUUAUAACAGUCAAACAAUCACAACAAAAUACAUAAUUUCUCCUGCUCUGCCUUCUGCAUGUUAUAACAGUCAAACACAACAAAAUACAUCAUUUCUCCUGCUCUGCCUUCUGCAUGUCACAACAGUCAAACACAACAAAAUACAUCAUUUCUCCUGCUCUGCCUUCUGCAUGUUAUAACAGUCAAACACAACAAAAUACAUAAUUUCUCCUGCUCUGCCUUCUGCAUGUUAUAACAGUCAAACAAUCACAACAAAAUACAUCAUUUCUCCUGCUCUGCCUUCUGCAUGUCACAACAGUCAAACAAUCACAACAAAAUACAUCAUUUCUCCUGCUCUGCCUUCUGCAUGUUACAACAGUCAAUCACAACAAAAUACAUCAUUUCUCCUGCUCUGCCUUCUGCAUGUUACAACAGUCAAUCACAACAAAAUACAUCAUUUCUCCUGCUCUGCCUUCUGCAUGUCACAACAGUCACACAAUCACAACAAAAUGCAUCAUUUCUCCUGCUCUGCCUUCUGCAUGUCACAACAGUCACACAAUCACAACAAAAUACAUAAUUUCUCCUGCUCUGCCUUCUGCAUGUCACAACAGUCAAACAAUCACAACAAAAUACAUCAUUUCUCCUGCUCUGCCUUCUGCAUGUCACAACAGUCAAUCACAACAAAAUACAUCAUUUCUCCUGCUCUGCCUUCUGCAUGCCAUAACAGUCAAUCACAACAAAAUACAUCAUUUCUCCUGCUCUGCCUUCUGCAUGUUAUAACAGUCAAACACAACAAAAUACAUCAUUUCUCCUGCUCUGCCUUCUGCAUGUCACAACAGUCACACAAUCACAACAAAAUACAUCAUUUCUCCUGCUCUGCCUUCUGCAUGUCACAACAGUCAACCACAACAAAAUACAUCAUUUCUCCUGCUCUGCCUUCUGCAUGUCACAACAGUCAACCACAACAAAAUACAUCAUUUCUCCUGCUCUGCCUUCUGCAUGCCACAACAGUCAAUCACAACAAAAUACAUCAUUUCUCCUGCUCUGCCUUCUGCAUGUCACAACAGUCAAUCACAACAAAAUACAUCAUUUCUCCUGCUCUGCCUUCUGCAUGUCACAACAGUCAAAACAAUCACAACAAAAUACAUCAUUUCUCCUGCUCUGCCUUCUGCAUGUCACAACAGUCACACAAUCACAACAAAAUACAUCAUUUCUCCUGCUCUGCCUUCUGCAUGCCAUAACAGUCAAACACAACAAAAUACAUCAUUUCUCCUGCUCUGCCUUCUGCAUGCCAUAACAGUCAAACACAACAAAAUACAUCAUUUCUCCUGCUCUGCCUUCUGCAUGCCACAACAGUCAAACACAACAAAAUACAUCAUUUCUCCUGCUCUGCCUUCUGCAUGUCACAACAGUCAAACAAUCACAACAAAAUACAUCAUUUCUCCUGCUCUGCCUUCUGCAUGUCACAACAGUCACACACAACAAAAUACAUCAUUUCUCCUGCUCUGCCUUCUGCAUGUCACAACAGUCACACAAUCACAACAAAAUACAUAAUUUCUCCUGCUCUGCCUUCUGCAUGUUAUAACAGUCAAACAAUCACAACAAAAUACAUAAUUUCUCCUGCUCUGCCUUCUGCAUGUUAUAACAGUCAAACAAUCACAACAAAAUACAUAAUUUCUCCUGCUCUGCCUUCUGCAUGUUAUAACAGUCAAACAAUCACAACAAAAUACAUAAUUUCUCCUGCUCUGCCUUCUGCAUGUUAUAACAGUCAAACACAACAAAAUACAUCAUUUCUCCUGCUCUGCCUUCUGCAUGUUAUAACAGUCAAACAAUCACAACAAAAUACAUCAUUUCUCCUGCUCUGCCUUCUGCAUGUCACAACAGUCAAACAAUCACAACAAAAUACAUCAUUUCUCCUGCUCUGCCUUCUGCAUGUCACAACAGUCAAACAAUCACAACAAAAUACAUCAUUUCUCCUGCUCUGCCUUCUGCAUGUUACAACAGUCAAUCACAACAAAAUACAUCAUUUCUCCUGCUCUGCCUUCUGCAUGUUACAACAGUCAAUCACAACAAAAUACAUCAUUUCUCCUGCUCUGCCUUCUGCAUGUCACAACAGUCACACAAUCACAACAAAAUACAUAAUUUCUCCUGCUCUGCCUUCUGCAUGUCACAACAGUCAAACAAUCACAACAAAAUACAUCAUUUCUCCUGCUCUGCCUUCUGCAUGUCACAACAGUCAAUCACAACAAAAUACAUCAUUUCUCCUGCUCUGCCUUCUGCAUGCCAUAACAGUCAAUCACAACAAAAUACAUCAUUUCUCCUGCUCUGCCUUCUGCAUGUUAUAACAGUCAAACACAACAAAAUACAUCAUUUCUCCUGCUCUGCCUUCUGCAUGUCACAACAGUCACACAAUCACAACAAAAUACAUCAUUUCUCCUGCUCUGCCUUCUGCAUGUCACAACAGUCAACCACAACAAAAUACAUCAUUUCUCCUGCUCUGCCUUCUGCAUGUCACAACAGUCAACCACAACAAAAUACAUCAUUUCUCCUGCUCUGCCUUCUGCAUGCCACAACAGUCAAUCACAACAAAAUACAUCAUUUCUCCUGCUCUGCCUUCUGCAUGUCACAACAGUCAAUCACAACAAAAUACAUCAUUUCUCCUGCUCUGCCUUCUGCAUGUCACAACAGUCAAAACAAUCACAACAAAAUACAUCAUUUCUCCUGCUCUGCCUUCUGCAUGUCACAACAGUCACACAAUCACAACAAAAUACAUCAUUUCUCCUGCUCUGCCUUCUGCAUGCCAUAACAGUCAAACACAACAAAAUACAUCAUUUCUCCUGCUCUGCCUUCUGCAUGCCAUAACAGUCAAACACAACAAAAUACAUCAUUUCUCCUGCUCUGCCUUCUGCAUGCCACAACAGUCAAACACAACAAAAUACAUCAUUUCUCCUGCUCUGCCUUCUGCAUGUCACAACAGUCAAAACAAUCACAACAAAAUACAUCAUUUCUCCUGCUCUGCCUUCUGCAUGUCACAACAGUCAACCAAUCACAACAAAAUACAUCAUUUCUCCUGCUCUGCCUUCUGCAUGCCAUAACAGUCAAACAAUCACAACAAAAUACAUCAUUUCUCCUGCUCUGCCUUCUGCAUGUCACAACAGUCAACCAAUCACAACAAAAUACAUCAUUUCUCCUGCUCUGCCUUCUGCAUGUCACAACAGUCAACCAAUCACAACAAAAUACAUCAUUUCUCCUGCUCUGCCUUCUGCAUGUCACAACAGUCACACAAUCACAACAAAAUACAUCAUUUCUCCUGCUCUGCCUUCUGCAUGUCACAACAGUCAAACACAACAAAAUACAUCAUUUCUCCUGCUCUGCCUUCUGCAUGUCACAACAGUCAAAACAAUCACAACAAAAUUGAUAUCCUGACAAAAUGAACUAUUAUGCUUUUCUUAUUGUAUCAGGGGACCAUAGACAAAAUGCAUUUUAUUCUUACUGCACUGGGGUAAAUUGUAUGCAAUAUGGAGAGAUUUUUCUAUGCUCUUUUUAACUAGGAAAAUCUAUGCUAUAAUGAAAUGCACCAGCAUUAUCUGUUGUGAUUCUACAGUGAUGUUGUCAAACAGUGAAUUGGUUUUGUAUUUCUAAGUGCCCAAUGAGUCUUUUGCUUUGUUGAUGUCGUGGCACUCUGCAAAUGGUCAUGAUUGUGUUCCGUCGUCUUAAACAAAGUACAUGUAUUUUUCCCUGUGAUGUUUGGGUGGCAGGGAGCCUAGCGAUUUAAGAGCGUUGUGCCAGUAACCUAAAGGUUGCUGGUUCAAAUCUCUGAGUCGACUGGGUGAAACAUCUCUCUAUGCCCUUCAGCAACGCACUUAACCCUAAUUUACUCUUGUAAGUCGCUCUGGAUAAGAGCGUCUGUUGACUAAAAUGUAAAGGUCUAAACAUGUGUAUUUGGACUAACUAAAGCCUUAAAGAUGGAUUCCGCAGUAUGGGGAAGCCUACCCACCACUUAAAAAAAAAAAAAAACCUUGACCUAAGGCAUUUGUCAGAAUAGCAUCUGUCGACUAUGUUUACUAUCAAGUUCAACACUGUUUAGGACAUUUUAUACACUAAUUAUAUCAAUAGAGCCAGUUUUAUUUAAAAAAUAAUAAUUUUUGUACAAGUCCUUUUUUAUUGUAUAUAUCUUGCUUUCAUACAUUUUGUUUUCUUAUUACUACUGAUCCACGCUCUAGUGAGCUUUGUAGGAAGGCACUAUGAUUUAUCUCUUGUGGUCUAUAUCAAGAACAUGGCCUUGUUCCAAUACUUUGACAAUGCGUCCUUCCUUCCUCGCUUCCUUCCUUCCAUCGUUGCUUGUCGUCAUCUCUGAUCUGACGCUAUUGAAUAGCUGACCGAUUGCUUCCACUUCAUGGUUGACAAUCCAGAGUCAUUUCAAAUCUGUGAAUUUUUGAAAGGAAAGGAUGCAUUUUCAAAGUAUUCAAUCUGGGCCUUGUUUUUGAUGUCAGAACAUGUGCUCUUACCUAUUGGUGCUUUAAACUCAGUGUGCAAGUAAAUCAUCAGAGGAGGUCUCUCCCUGUCAAUCAAAUCUGUGAAGUCACGAGGUGAUCUCAGGACAUGAAUACUGUUAUGGUAAAGUGCUUGUGUGUGUGGUCUGUAAUGUAUAAUGUUUUAUUCUCUAAGGUAUUAUAAGACAGCAGGUGGCUUACAUACUCCUCUAAAUUUGUCAUUAAAUCAUUUGAUGUUCACUGUCCAGAGCAUAGGGUAGUAUUUGAUCAACACUGAACAAAAAAAACACAUGUCAAGUGUUGGUCCCAUGUUUCAUGAGCUGAAAUAAAACAUUCCUGAAAUUUUC